This 497-nucleotide ribosomal RNA is filed under the name uncultured bacterium. Its description in RNAcentral is "partial 16S ribosomal RNA". It matches the Rfam family "Bacterial small subunit ribosomal RNA", at positions 28 to 507 of the family's 1533-position model. The record is from RNAcentral.
GAUGAACGCUGGCGGCGUGCCUAAUACAUGCAAGUCGAGCGAACGGACGAGAAGCUUGCUUCUCUGAUGUUAGCGGCGGACGGGUGAGUAACACGUGGAUAACCUACCUAUAAGACUGGGAUAAUUUCGGGAAACCGGAGCUAAUACCGGAUAAUAUUUUGAACCGCAUGGUUCAAAAGUGAAAGACGGUCUUGCUGUCACUUAUAGAUGGAUUCGCGCUGCAUUAGCUAGUUGGUAAGGUAACGGCUUACCAAGGCAACGAUGCAUAGCCGACCUGAGAGGGUGAUCGGCCACACUGGAACUGAGACACGGUCCAGACUCCUACGGGAGGCAGCAGUAGGGAAUCUUCCGCAAUGGGCGAAAGCCUGACGGAGCAACGCCGCGUGAGUGAUGAAGGUCUUCGGAUCGUAAAACUCUGUUAUUAGGGAAGAACAUAUGUGUAAGUAACUGUGCACAUCUUGACGGUACCUAAUCAGAAAGCCACGGCUAACUACGUG